This 500-nucleotide ribosomal RNA is filed under the name Lactobacillus selangorensis. Its description in RNAcentral is "bacterial SSU rRNA". It matches the Rfam family "Bacterial small subunit ribosomal RNA", at positions 78 to 560 of the family's 1533-position model. The record is from RNAcentral. Lineage: Bacteria; Bacillati; Bacillota; Bacilli; Lactobacillales; Lactobacillaceae.
GCUUGCACUUGAUGAAAGUGAGUGGCGGACGGGUGAGUAACACGUGGGUAACCUGCCCCAAAGCGGGGAAUAACAUUUGGAAACAGAUGCUAAUACCGCAUAACAACGAAGACCACAUGGUCUUCGUUUGAAAGACGGCGUAAGCUGUCACUUUGGGAUGGACCCGCGGCGUAUUAGCUAGUUGGUAAGGUAACGGCCUACCAAGGCGAUGAUACGUAGCCGACCUGAGAGGGUAAUCGGCCACAUUGGGACUGAGACACGGCCCAAACUCCUACGGGAGGCAGCAGUAGGGAAUCUUCCACAAUGGACGAAAGUCUGAUGGAGCAACGCCGCGUGAGUGAAGAAGGUUUUCGGAUCGUAAAACUCUGUUGUUAGAGAAGAACGUGGGUGAGAGUAACUGCUCAUCCAGUGACGGUAUCUAACCAGAAAGCCACGGCUAACUACGUGCCAGCAGCCGCGGUAAUACGUAGGUGGCAAGCGUUGUCCGGAUUUAUUGGGCG